CCCUUAGAUGUCCUGGGCCGCACGCGCGUUACACUGAUGCAUUCAACGAGCUUAUAACCUUGGCCGAGAGGCCUGGGCAAUCUUGUUAACGUGCAUCGUGAUAGGGAUAGAUUAUUGAAAUUAUUAAUCUUGAACGAGGAAUUCCUAGUAAACGCAGAUCAUCAAUCUGCAUUGAUUACGUCCCUGCCCUUUGUACACACCGCCCGUCGCACCUACCGAUUGGAUGGUCCGGUGAAGCCUCGGGAUUGUGGUUCUUGCCGCUUUAUUGUGGCGUGACCGCGAGAACUUGUCUAAACCUCAUCAUUUAGAGGAAGGUGAAGUCGUAACA
Molecule: ribosomal RNA, 328 nt
Filed under: uncultured eukaryote
Lineage: Eukaryota
Description: partial 18S ribosomal RNA
Rfam family: Eukaryotic small subunit ribosomal RNA
Source: RNAcentral